This 2739-nucleotide unclassified non-coding RNA is filed under the name Hevea brasiliensis (rubber tree). The record is from RNAcentral. Lineage: Eukaryota; Viridiplantae; Streptophyta; Magnoliopsida; Malpighiales; Euphorbiaceae.
UGCAAUUAUGAAUUUAAUUCCACAUAUUUUGGCGGGUUGUCUUGUCUCGUGUCAGUAUUCUGAGCUAGAGGCUGUGGCUCUCUGCCUCUCUCCUCCGCUACUUGUCUAUAAGUACACGACCCAUGCACUGGCUAAUGGCCCUCUCCAACCUCAAUGUCCUUCUCGCUCUGAUACACAAGAAACGGCUCGCAGUUUCAGGAUCUCUUCUCCUCUUUACCUGCUCUAUCUCCACCUUUUGACGCCUCUUCAAUCUUUUCUCAUUUCAUUUUCUUUUGACUUUCUAUCAUUUUGCCUUAGUUUCUCUCAAUCCAAACAUGACAACCUUCAAAAUACCAACUUUCUUGCCUUUCUCAAAACUCCCAAUACACCCUAAUCCUGACCCUAAACAUAGCGGACAUAAAAUUAAAUUCUCUCUAUCAUUCAAUCACAAAUACAGCUAUGGUUUUAAUUCCAACUCGUUAAUUUUGAAAUUUCAUUGUAAAAGACAUAACCUUUCAGUUUCUUGUUCUGCGGCUAUCCAGGCUCCGGCGGGGACCAUCAACAGAGCCGAGGUCGCUGCCGAUAGGAUUCAACGGCUUGUUUCUGAAUUCGCGUCUCUUGACGAGCCGAUUGACCGCGUGAAGCGGCUUUUAGAUUACGCCGCCCGUCUACCUCCAUUUAAUGAGUCGGCUCGCUCGCUGGGAAACCGAGUCAUAGGGUGCACGACUCAGGUGUGGCUAGAAGUGAGAAUGGACGAAAAUGGGAGAAUGAGAUUCAGAGCCGAUAGCGACUCGGAGAUUACCAAAGGUUUUAUUUCGUGCUUGAUUUGGUCGCUUGAUGGCGCGGAGCCCGGUGAGGUGGUAGCGGUGAAGUCGGAGGAUUUGGCGGCGAUGAAUGUGGGCUUGUAUGGUAAGGCCCAAUCGAGAGUGAAUACGUGGCAUAAUGUAUUAAUCAGUAUGCAGAAUAGGACUAAAGCUUUGGCUGCGAAGCGAAAGGAGUUGGCUUUGGAGCCGCUUCCGUCACUGGUGGUUACCACCGACGGUAUCGGUGGCGCUGGUAGUUUUGCCCAAGCUCAGGUAGGUAGAAAUUUCUCAUCCCUGUUCUGAGUUUUGUUUAUUUUUAUUUAAUUUUAUCCAGGAACUUGGGUAUCAGUCGUAUACAAUAUUGCUGACAUUUUAAGCAAGAAUUAAAAAUUAUUUUUCUUUCAUUGCAUACCUUAGCAUUUAAUAUGAAUUGAAGUUGUAAAAUUUAUUCUUUUGAUGUCUAAGUAUUUUUAUUAAUUCUAUAUUACAUGUUUUUUGCUUAGUGACAUGAUAAAAUGCAGGUUACCAAGGAAGUGGAAUUGGGAAGUAGAGUCUAGGAAUGGGGAGGCAUGCAGAAGCUUGAGUAAAUGUGGCCUUCUUGCCUCUGGGAUGGAAGGUCUGUUUUUGUUUAUCAACGUAGUUUACUCUCAAAUUCUCGGAUCCCUUUUCCUUCUAUUUUUGUUUGACUUGCACAAGCAUAUCUUUAUGUUCUGAUUCCUGCCAUCCACUUCCAAUUAGAGAUUUAUUUAUCUUAUGGUCAAAUUACAUGGAUAUACCUUCUUUCAGUAAAUUUUAAUUCACAAACUAGUGCUCAACUCGGUCACUGUAAAUACCAUUAUGCUAUUUUCACUUGUACAUGCAGCCUCUGAUUUAGGCACUAGUUGAUUCCUAUAGAAUGUCUGCAACCAGGAUCACAGAUGCAUUGUGGUCAUGAAGUUCUGGGAAUAGAGGACAUAUCCCAUUCUCUGAUGCCUUCUUGGUGGCUAAUUUUAAAAUUUCUGGAGAGACGUUUUCCUUCAGCAAUUGAAGCAAAAAGAGAAGGAAUGGUACAGGUGCUGGCAAAUAGAUUGUUAAAUUUUGAAUCCUGUACCAGGACAGCAAAUGUGAGCAACGAAAUUAUCUUCCCAGUUUCAUCAGACUCGUCGUUAAACAUGGAGGAGUCUAUCCAAUGAAUAAAGUGCAGUUAGAUGGGUGAUUUUACAAGACUACACGACGUGUCUUGUCCAUACAUGAAGGUAUAUGUGUUUUCACUUAGAAAAGGAAAAUUUUAGUAUAACAAAAAUGUUAUGCAUAAGCAGUUGACCAUGGCAGUGAAUUUGGAAUGCGCCAUGGAAAAUGUCUCCAACAGUAAUAACUUUUGGUUUGUGAUUUCAAGCUUCAUUUGCCUCAGAUGUCAUGUAAUGCAAUUUUUAGUCUCUAUCUGUGUCAGGAUGGUUCACUUACUGAUUUCAAGUCUGUCACUAGCUUCUUGAAGAAAAUAUUCUUUCAAAGCUUGCAUCUUGGGAAUUCAAGUCCCAUACUCCAACCUCAAAUACCAGCAAAAAUGAGACACACUUUCAGGUUGCCUUCCUCAAAUGAUGGAACAUCUGAUUGUCAACAUUUGGAGACCCAAUUUAGAUUAUUCAGCUUUCUGGCUCUCACAGAUUCUAUGGAUUUGCUUCUUCAGUAAACAAACGGAUUACAAAUAAACUUGAGUACAAGAACUUCAUUCAGAUAUCAAAGGGAAGAGGUCAAAAUGGAGUUCUGAGUUGGGAAUUGUCAUGGAUGCUGUUCUGUUUAUUGAUUUUUCUGGGACCUGGAUUUCUAAGCAAAAAUGUUGCUUCUCUAGCAAAAAAUAGAAUAAGCAGAGAAUACUGUUGGUACUCACUAUUAUUUUCUUCUCCGAGUUAGAUGAAGAAAUCACGUAUUUUUAUCAUGAAUUCUGUUAGCUAUAGUAAAUUAUAAAUUUUUAUAUUUU